RNA transcript from Cucurbita maxima (winter squash), 2904 nucleotides. It is a transcript of the gene named transcription initiation factor TFIID subunit 8-like, with no coding region annotated. The record is from RefSeq and is a predicted model, not a curated record. The transcript is spliced from 3 exons. Lineage: Eukaryota; Viridiplantae; Streptophyta; Magnoliopsida; Cucurbitales; Cucurbitaceae.
UCGUUUUCUCAUUCUCUGGUUUUUUUUUUUUUUCCUCUUCAAAAAAUUUCUUUCCUCAUCGAUCUCUAUUUCCAAGGGUCUUUUGCCGGGGUUUAUCCAUUUUCCUCCGUCAAAUUUCUUUUAUCCAUUUUCGUUUGAAUUCUUGGAUUCCCUUCAUCUCGCUGACUUCCUGUAAACCCUAACGAUCUUCUUCUUAGGGUUUUAAUUUUGUUGUUCCAUCCUGGAGUCUCCUCGGCUUUGAAGUAUUUGUGUUAAUCGAAGAUUCCAUAUCACUUGUUGGAAAGCUCGGGGGAAUCUGUGCUUUUCUUGGCUAAUUUUGUGAGUUUCUUCAGGCUUACUGGUUCGUCAUUUUGAAUUUUCGAUAGACCUGCUUCUUUCGGUUUGGUUUUGAAGUCUCUGCAAUUACGGGUCUCAGAGGGAGGGAAUCCUUUUCUCCCCCGCGGACUUUCAAGGAACUACUGGCCUGCUCUUUCAAUUUUGAAUUUCGAGCGCGUUUUUUCCCCUCAUUUGGUAUUAAUAGGCCAGAUGAGAGCGGUUACUUUUCUGAUAUGACGUUUGAUUGGAAGGUGUUUGAUUUUAGUGCUUAGUAAUGGGGUGAAUCACGCAGGCCCAGUGAAAGCUAAAUGACUCGAGGAUUUGAAUAUGAGCCAUGGAGGUGGAAAAAUUACGAGAGAGAUUGAAAAUCAGGUGGAUCGUUUUAGAAGAGCUGGAGCUGAUGAUUUUGGGCGAGCGGCGUCGAAGAUUGCAGCAGCACAGAUAUGCCAGAGUCUGGGAUUUCAGGGAUCGAAGGAGUCUGCUUUGGACACGCUGGCGGAAAUUGUAAUAGUGUAUCUUAGUAACGUGGGAAAGAUGGCGAGUUUCUAUUCUAACUUAGCUGGAAGAACUGAGUGUAAUGUGUUUGACAUUGUUAGAGGACUUAAAGAUUUAGAAGCACUUGGGUCUAGUCAAGAUGCUGAGGUUAGCCGUUGUCUUGCAGGUUCAAGGUCAAUUCAAGAAAUUUUGGAGUAUAUGUAUUCGGUACAAGAAAUUCCAUUUGCUCAGCCAGUGCCGCAGUUUCCAAUUAUUAAGAACUGCAACGUGCUGCCGAGUUUCAUUCAAAUGAGGGAAACACCUCCUAGUAAACAUAUACCCAAUUGGCUACCUGCUUUUCCUGAUUCCCACACUUACAUUUAUACGCCAGUGUGGAAUAAGAGAACAACGGACCCUCGCACCGACAAGAUUGAGCAAGCAAAGCAGAGGAGAAAGGCAGAGAAGUCGUUGUUAAGUCUGCAGCAGCGGUUGGUUGUUGAUACUGGCAAUAUAAAGGAAGAAUUACCUAUUUUGAAUAGUAACACAUCCCAUGAUUCAGAAUUGAAACCGAGGAAGGAUGCUGUUUCUGUGGCCAAAUUGCCUCUUAAACAUUCAGAUCAUGUGUUUGAUGACAGUGGUUCUGUGUUAGAGGCAUUUGCUCCGGUCAUAGAAGCUGUUAAAGGCAGUGGCUUUUAUGACGACGAAGAGGGUGAGAAGAAGGAUCUUCCCACUAUUAGGCAUCCUGUUCAAUUUAAGUUCAAAACUGGGAAGAAGCUUCUUGGUGAUUCUUUGGAUUUGAACAUUCAAAAGAAAGGAAUUAGUAGAACAACAGUCUUGGUUGGACGGUAUGAUGAAAGGGAUGAUAGGAAACGAAGAGCUGAAUACAUUCUUAGGAAGUCUAUGGAGAACCCGCAAGAACUCAAUCAGUUGUGAAUAAAUAUAUUGACUGGCGUUAGUAUUUAAUCUAGGAUUUUUUCGGAGAUGCAAAUGCUUGUGAAAAUUUUAUCGAGAAGGGAAAGUACUGAAAGGUGGCCAUUCUUUGCAGCUUCUGGAUUGGUGCUCUCUUCUUGUCUUCUGAUGAACCUGCUUGAACUGCAGGACCAAAGAUUUUUUUAUUUUUUCUUCAUGGCACAGGUAUGAUUCGAAGGUUACUAUUUCUCUAUUUUACUGCUUUCAGAUUUGAUUUAUGCUUUUUAUGACUUAGAUUUACCAAAUCUGAUCUUCCCUAGGAAACCUACUGAACGUUUCUGAAUGGUAUGAUUUGUCCUUGAGAGUAAAACAUUAAGCUGCAGCUAAAAAGAUAUCAGAACCUAGUUUGGAUAUUGUAACCUUGAUUUGUCUCGAGAGAACAGUCGAGAUGUGUGCAAGUUAGUAAGAACGCUCACAGAUACAAAAUAAAAUAACGCGGCCUUAGACCUGCAUCAUGAAUGUUCUUUGUAAAAGCACGAGGAAUUUAGAUAGUUGGACACUUUACUUUUAUCAUAUCUGUUAAGCAAAAGGAGCGGCAAGAAUGAGCCAAAAGGAGUUAUAGCUGUUGAAGUACUGUAAAAUCUCGCAUAUUCCUGUGUUUUAUUAUUGUUCUUUCAACUGUAAUGCUCAAAUAAUGUGUUUGUUUGUUUUCUUCCUCAAUGUUGUCUGGAAGGUGAAUUGAUCGACCCGUUUAAUGUUCGAUUUUGUGAAGUUGGAUAAGGAUAGGAUUUGUGAUACAAGUUUCAAAGUUGUGUGUCUAUGGAAUUUUUUCUUUUUAUGUUGCUUUCUGCUGUGUUUUCUUAGAACAAACAUCCUUGCUUUAUACCCUGACUACUUUGUUGGAGGCUUUUUGAUAAAUUAAGCAUGGAAUGUCAUGCUACAAAAUGGUUCCUGAGCUGACCCUUUGCGACAAGCAUGUCGAUCCUACCGAAAAACAGAAAUUUAAGUUAUGCCUUGUUGUCCAAUCCCCAUAUGUCGACCUUGUCAAGUUUCAAGUGGGAAAUGUUUUGAAUCUGAGUCUCUUUUGAGUCGAGUCGAGCUUGAUUGAACAGUUAAACUUAUUUGGAUUUUUUCUUAUAAACUCGUUCAUAAAUAUGUGGCUUGUGUGCACGUUCAUAUGACAAAUAGAAAUUGUACGGUUAACUA